Molecule: ribosomal RNA, 253 nt
Filed under: uncultured bacterium
Lineage: Bacteria
Description: partial 16S ribosomal RNA
Rfam family: Bacterial small subunit ribosomal RNA
Source: RNAcentral
UACGAAGGGGGCUAGCGUUGUUCGGAAUUACUGGGCGUAAAGCGUGCGCAGGCGGCUUCUCAAGUCAGGGGUGAAAGCCUAGAGCUCAACUCUGGAAUUGCCUUUGAGACUGAGUGGCUUGAGUACGGGAGAGGUGAGUGGAAUUCCCAGUGUAGAGGUGAAAUUCGUAGAUAUUGGGAAGAACACCGGUGGCGAAGGCGGCUCACUGGCCCGUAACUGACGCUCAUGCACGACAGCGUGGGGAUCAAACAGG